Molecule: ribosomal RNA, 520 nt
Filed under: uncultured bacterium
Lineage: Bacteria
Description: bacterial SSU rRNA
Rfam family: Bacterial small subunit ribosomal RNA
Source: RNAcentral
GCCGACUCGCGAUGCAUCUAGAUUAGAGUUUGAUCCUGGCUCAGGAUGAACGCUAGCGGCAGGCCUAAUACAUGCAAGCUGAACGGUAAAUAUUGUAGCAAUACAAUAUGAGAGUAGCGUAAGGGUGCGUAACACGUAUGCAAUCUGCCCUGUACAGGAGGAUAGCUCGGGGAAACCCGGAUUAAUACUCCGUAAUAUUAUUGGGUGGCAUCACCUGGUAAUUAAAGUCGCAAGACGGUAUGGGAUGAGCAUGCGUCUGAUUAGCUAGUUGGUAGUGUAACGGACUACCAAGGCGAUGAUCAGUAGGGGAACUGAGAGGUUGAUCCCCCACACUGGCACUGAGAUACGGGCCAGACUCCUACAGGAGGCAGCAGUAGGGAAUAUUGGUCAAUGGAUGCAAGUCUGAACCAGCCAUGCCGCGUGCAGGAAGAAGGCCUUCUGGGUUGUAAACUGCUUUUGCCGGGGGAUAAAAAGUCCAUGCGUGGACAAUUGAAGGUACCCGGUGAAUAAGCCACGGCUA